UUCAUUUUUUUAAGUAAAAAUAUUUUGUUUGUACAGGCCCAAAUUUUUCCAGCCCGUCAGGAAACCCAAACACAUAAAUAAAUAAAAAGUCCCAAAAUUUUAAAAGUCCAAAUUACAAUUAAAAAUCACACCAGCCCAAAUUAUCAAGGCCCAGUUAGAUGACCUAAACCCUAGCCCACUAGCUAUCAACAUUUUCAGUCAAACAAGAAAGGAACCCUAGCAUUGCAGCCACCAUUCAGCCCUUCAAGCGUGCCACCACCGCCAUCACUGGCCAUCACGCGUGUCUGACACCUGCAAAGAAAGAUCCACACGCAAGCGAUACAAACAACAGAGAAACAAACAAAAAGAAAAAUGACAAACACAAAAAACAAAAGAAAACAAGCCUUGUAUUCGGCUAUAAAGGCUAUAAUCUAUCCCCUUGUAUUCUUUUACGCAUAUUAAGCAAUCAAAAGCAAAAUAGAAGCAAAAAAAAGAGGAUGAUUUCGAUUUCUAUUUUUGUGUACUUUUCGUUUUUUUAUUUUAUUUUUUACCUUUUUUUAUUAUAAAUCUAUUCUAAACAAAAAAAAAUAAAAAGAAGAAAAAGCUUACCGGAGACACCCCGUGACGCCUCGUCAGAGGGCUUUUCUCCGUUGUCGCGAUCGGACUCAAAAGGGGGUACGAGCCCUCCCCUUUCAUUUUUUGGGUCGAGGGCAUUUUUUCUUUCAAGGGCGUCGCAAAACGAGGGCUUAAAGCCCGUUUCAUCCGUUGCCGGCCAUUGGCCACGGCGGCGGUGCGGCAGACCACCAAGAGGCUCCACGCCAGCCAAGGAGAGAGUUGAGAGAAAAUGGGGGGGUUUUUUGAAUUUUUUUAGAAACACUGAAAAAUGAAAUUUUCUAAAAAAAAUUUUUGUUUAAAUGACAAACAUGAAACGGCACCGUUUCAUUCCCUCCCCCUAGAUGCCAAAAUGGCGGUGUUUGGGGAAGGGGCGGUUUGACCCGACCCGAUUGGGAAGGAUCCUACGGAUCCUUCUGUUUUGCCUCUUGUUUUCAAUUUGGCCCUUUUAUUCUUUCUUUUGCGCUUUUUUAAUUUGACCCCAUGUUCUUUGCACUCGUCUUAUUUUGGUCCCAUUUGAAACGGUGCGCAUAAGGGCUGGGAAUAUUUUCCCAAUCAGUCCCCCACUGUUUAGGCUCGUCUCAUUUCAAUCCUUGAUGGCCUAUUUUCUAUUAUUUACAAUUUAUACCUUAAAUUUCAAUUCAAUUUCAACCUAGUCC
Molecule: long non-coding RNA, 1250 nt
Filed under: Gossypium barbadense (sea-island cotton)
Lineage: Eukaryota; Viridiplantae; Streptophyta; Magnoliopsida; Malvales; Malvaceae
Description: long non-coding RNA (GBAR_LNC009283)
Source: RNAcentral